GCGCAGCAGUCGAGAAUUUUGGGCAAUGGGCGCAAGUCUGACCCAGCGACGCCGCGUGAGGGAUGAAGUCCUUCGGGAUGUAAACCUCUGUUGAGGGGGACGAUAAUGACGGUACCCCUCGAGGAAGCCUCGGCUAACUCCGUGCCAGCAGCCGCGGUAAUACGGAGGAGGCAAGCGUUGUCCGGAAUCACUGGGCGUAAAGGGUGUGUAGGUGUCCUGAUGGGUCAGGUGUGAAAUCCAACAGCUUAACUGUUGAACUGCAUCUGAAACUAUCGGGAUUGAGGACAUGAGGGGAGAGUGGAACUCGCGGUGUAGCGGUAGAAUGCGUGGAUAUCGCGAGGAAUGUCGAUGGCGAAGGCGGCUCUCUAGCGUGUUCCUCGUAUGAGGAGCCGAAUAAUUUUAAUCUUCGGGUUAUGAUUAUUCGGUCCUGACACUGAAACACGAAAGCUGGGGAGCGAACGGGAUUAGAUACCCGUGUAGU
RNAcentral lists this ribosomal RNA (481 nucleotides) under uncultured microorganism. RNAcentral's name for it is "bacterial SSU rRNA". It matches the Rfam family "Bacterial small subunit ribosomal RNA", at positions 346 to 794 of the family's 1533-position model. The record is from RNAcentral.